Molecule: ribosomal RNA, 253 nt
Filed under: uncultured bacterium
Lineage: Bacteria
Description: partial 16S ribosomal RNA
Rfam family: Bacterial small subunit ribosomal RNA
Source: RNAcentral
UACGAAGGGGGCGAGCGUUGUUCGGAUUUACUGGGCGUAAAGGGCGCGUAGGCGGCGCCGGAAGUCAGGCGUGAAAGCCCCGGGCUCAACCUGAGAAUAGCGCUUGGGACUCUGGUGCUUGAGUUCGGGAGAGGAGAGUGGAAUUCCCAGUGUAGAGGUGAAAUUCGUAGAUAUUGGGAAGAACACCGGUGGCGAAGGCGGCUCUCUGGACCGAGACUGACGCUGAGGCGCGAAAGCGUAAAAAGCAAACAGG